This 272-nucleotide ribosomal RNA is filed under the name uncultured prokaryote. RNAcentral describes it as "partial 16S ribosomal RNA". It matches the Rfam family "Bacterial small subunit ribosomal RNA", at positions 524 to 796 of the family's 1533-position model. The record is from RNAcentral.
UACGUAGGUGGCAAGCGUUGUCCGGAAUUAUUGGGCGUAAAGCGCGCGCAGGCGGUCUCUUAAGUCUGAUGUGAAAGCCCCCGGCUCAACCGGGGAGGGUCAUUGGAAACUGGGAGACUUGAGGACAGAAGAGGAGAGUGGAAUUCCAAGUGUAGCGGUGAAAUGCGUAGAUAUUUGGAGGAACACCAGUGGCGAAGGCGGCUCUCUGGUCUGUUACUGACGCUGAGGCGCGAAAGCGUGGGGAGCAAACAGGAUUAGAACCCCUGUAGUCC